AUACGUAGGGGGCGAGCGUUGUCCGGAAUGAUUGGGCGUAAAGGGCGCGUAGGCGGCAUGUUAAGUCUGGAGUGAAAGUCCUGUUUUCAAGAUGGGAAUUGCUUUGGAUACUGUCGGGCUUGAGUGCAGGAGAGGUAAGUGGAAUUCCCAGUGUAGCGGUGAAAUGCGUAGAGAUUGGGAGGAACGCCAGUGGCGAAGGCGACUUACUGGACUGUAACUGACGCUGAGGCGCGAAAGUGUGGGGAGCAAACAGGAUUAGAUACCCUGGUAGUCCACACUGUAAACGAUGAAUGCUAGGUGUAGGGGGUAUCGACCCCUUCUGUGCCGCAGUCAACACAAUAAGCAUUCCGCCUGGGGAGUACGGCCGCAAGGUUGAAACUCAAAUGAAUUGACGGGG
RNAcentral lists this ribosomal RNA (397 nucleotides) under uncultured bacterium. Its description in RNAcentral is "partial 16S ribosomal RNA". It matches the Rfam family "Bacterial small subunit ribosomal RNA", at positions 523 to 918 of the family's 1533-position model. The record is from RNAcentral.